Non-coding RNA from Cucumis melo (muskmelon), 138 nucleotides. The record is from Rfam. NCBI's taxonomy places the organism in Eukaryota, Viridiplantae, Streptophyta, Magnoliopsida, Cucurbitales, Cucurbitaceae.
AAAGCCACACUUAGCCAAGAAUGGAAUUGCCGGCUACAAAGAAGAAGAAGUUGUCUAUACAUUAUUAUAUCAUAAACUAAGAUCAAAUAUAUAUUGAUGCAUUGCCGGCAAUUCAUCCUUGGCUUAGUAGUCCUCUCU